GGCAAGAUGGCCGAGCGGUCCAAGGCGCCAGGUUAAGGUCAAGCCUUAACAGCAACUCGCAAGAGUUCCUGGUCUUCGAAAGGGGGCGUGGGUUCGAAUCCCACUCUUGUCA
RNAcentral lists this transfer RNA (112 nucleotides) under Rasamsonia emersonii. RNAcentral describes it as "tRNA-Leu". It matches the Rfam family "tRNA". From Rfam's summary of the family: Transfer RNA (tRNA) molecules are approximately 80 nucleotides in length. Their secondary structure includes four short double-helical elements and three loops (D, anti-codon, and T loops). The record is from RNAcentral. Lineage: Eukaryota; Fungi; Ascomycota; Eurotiomycetes; Eurotiales; Trichocomaceae. RNAcentral also lists the same sequence under 1 other name.